CACGAAAUCGGGUGAGCUAAUUUGAUUAUAAAGUAUGUAGCAUAAUAUUUAUUGAAAUUGAAUUAGGAGUGAAAGGCCUCUCAAAAGCGAUGAUAUCUUGAAGUAAACAAAAAAAAUUGAGUUUUAAGAUGAUUACAAAGUUAUAAGAUUUUGUAAGAGUUUUAAUAUUUAUUAAUACCUAAUGUCGAUGUAAGAAUCUAUGUAAUUUUAUAAUAAUAUAAAAUUAAUAAAUUUAUUAAAUUAGUUUACGGUAGUAUAAUUUUCUUCAUAAUCAUUAUGUUAAUAUGAGUACUUAAAAGAUAUUUAUAGUGAACUCGGCAAUAAAGCUUUCAACUGUUUAUCAAAAACAUAGCCAUAUGAUUCUAUAUAUGGUGUGUUCUGCUCAAUGAUGGUUAAAUAGCCGCAGUACUCUGACUGUGCAAAGGUAGCGUAAUCAUUUGUCUUUUAAUUGAAGUCGUGUAUGAAUGAAUGCAUGGGGGCUUACUAUACCAUAAGUACAAUUCGAAAUUAUUUAAAAGGUGAAAAAACCUUUGCUUAAAAAAUAGACGAGAAGACCCUUGAAAUUUGUAGAAUAGUUUUGUUGGGGCAACAUAGUAAAUAAACCUACUUAAUGUAUAUGUAAUUUGUUUGAUUGAAAAAAUUACUCUAGGGAUAACAGCAUAAUUCUUAAUGAGUUUGUGACCUCGAUGUUGGAUUAGGGAACUAUAGCUUAAAA
This 715-nucleotide ribosomal RNA is filed under the name Torresitrachia sp. I FK-2010b. Its description in RNAcentral is "partial 16S ribosomal RNA". The stretch from base 289 to 532 matches the Rfam family "Archaeal large subunit ribosomal RNA", at positions 1785 to 2143 of the family's 2987-position model. Lineage: Eukaryota; Metazoa; Mollusca; Gastropoda; Stylommatophora; Camaenidae. The record is from RNAcentral.